Lingula anatina is the source of this 794-nucleotide long non-coding RNA. Lineage: Eukaryota; Metazoa; Brachiopoda; Lingulata; Lingulida; Lingulidae. The record is from RefSeq and is a predicted model, not a curated record.
CUUAGUACGGCGGAGCGGGAACAUUUUAUACGUUAUGAAAUAACGUUAUACCUAGGACAAGAUAUAUUUACGAGUUACCAUAAAGGUUUUAUCUGGAGCAGUAGGACAUUCCACAAUUCCAGCAUCCUUUUUAAUACAUGCAAAGACAUUCUUGAUGACAGAAGGCUCACACAAACAGUUUGACAGUUGGUGUACAGUAACAUGUGUCUCUGUAGUGGCCUGCUUGAUGUGGUCAGUUUGGGAUGAUGUUAUAUCCAAUACAUGGCUGUCGAUUGGUCGCGUCUUGACCCAGGCCACUACCUGGUGGAUGAAAUGGUAAUGGGGACAAGUAUGAAAGAAGCACAUGGCGAGUGAGACCCACGGCACCCUGUCAUAACAUUGGCGACGAGGAUAAGCAAGAAAUACUAACAUGGCACAGGGAGAACUGCACAGGGUUUAACAAAGCACAAGUAUAUUACCACCGAGAAUAGAGGAAUGGAUGAUGGACUUACAAGAUGUUGACUAUGAAGUGGUAUAUGAGCCAGGAAAGAAUGAUGCAGACUCUAUUGAUUGUCUCUCCAGACACCCACGGCCACAAACGGGUGGUGAUAGUACAGAGAGGAGGAUCAGAAAAUGCAGUAGUUCUUGAUGAGAUAGCUUGGGAAACCCUCACUGACCCAACACUAAUCAAACUUGGAGAGAGAAUCUCAGCAGGAGAUUGGAAUCUAUACAGUAAAGAUGAGGACAUUGAACCAUACUGGCACAUGAGAGAAGAAUUUAGUAUAUUUGAAGGACUCAUUUACAGAAUCGCUGUC